This 135-nucleotide ribosomal RNA is filed under the name Peromyscus maniculatus bairdii (prairie deer mouse). The record is from RNAcentral. Lineage: Eukaryota; Metazoa; Chordata; Mammalia; Rodentia; Cricetidae.
GACAAUGGCCAUAUCACCCAGAACGUGCCCAAUCUCAUUGACCUCAGAAACCAAGAAGGGUUGGGCCUGCUCAGUACUCGGAUGGGGACAUGCAACAUGAAUCCCCAACCCAUGUGACUUUAAGCACGAUGGUCU